This 460-nucleotide ribosomal RNA is filed under the name uncultured bacterium. Its description in RNAcentral is "partial 16S ribosomal RNA". It matches the Rfam family "Bacterial small subunit ribosomal RNA", at positions 338 to 795 of the family's 1533-position model. The record is from RNAcentral.
CCUACGGGUGGCAGCAGUGAGGAAUAUUGGUCAAUGGACGAGAGCCUGAACCAGCCAAGUAGCGUGCAGGAUGACUGCCCUAUGGGUUGUAAACUGCUUUUGUACGGGGAUAAAACGCUCCACGUGUGGGGUUUUGUAUGUACCGUAUGAAUAAGGAUCGGCUAACUCCGUGCCAGCAGCCGCGGUAAUACGGAGGAUCCGAGCGUUAUCCGGAUUUCUUGGGUUUAAAGGGAGCGUAGGUUGUUUGUUAAGUGAGUUGUGAAAUUUCGCGGCUGAACCUGCAGACUGCAGUUGACACUGGCAGUCUUGAGAUCAGAAGAGGUAGGCGGAAUUCGUGGUGUAGCGGUGAAAUGCAUAGAUAUCACGCAGAACACCGAUUGCGAAGGCAGUUUGCUGGGCUGCAACUGACACUGAGGCUCGAAAGUGUGGGUAUCAAACAGGAUUAGAUACCCCAGUAGUC